This 253-nucleotide ribosomal RNA is filed under the name uncultured bacterium. RNAcentral describes it as "partial 16S ribosomal RNA". It matches the Rfam family "Bacterial small subunit ribosomal RNA", at positions 524 to 776 of the family's 1533-position model. The record is from RNAcentral.
UACGUAGGGUGCAAGCGUUAAUCGGAAUUACUGGGCGUAAAGCGUGCGCAGGCGGUCUUGUAAGACAGAGGUUAAAUCCCCGGGCUCAACCUGGGAACUGCCUUUGUGACUGCAAGGCUUGAGUGCGGCAGAGGGGGAUGGAAAUCCGCGUGUAGCAGUGAAGUGCGUAGAUAUGCGGAGGAACACCGAUGGCGAAGGCAACCCCCUGGGCCUGCACUGACGCUCAUGCACGAAAGCGUGGGGAGCAAACAGG